CCAAGAUCCGAACCCACAAACCCAGACCACUACAGCAGAGCAUGCAGGACUUUAACCACUUGGUGACGAAGCCAGGCCGAAUUUUUUGUUUUUUUUUUUUUACUUUACGACUAUGCAUAGACCACAGGCUGAUAAAUUUCUCCUUCAUUCUCUUUGAAUGGGGCAAUUCCCACUCAGCUGGCUAUUUUCCCCAGAAUAGUAUAGGAGGAAUAUUUUUGACUGUCUUCCUUAUUAACUCAAAAAGUCCCUUCAGCCUCCUCCCUUAGGAAUUGAGUGAAAAGUUGGAUGUUGGAUGAAGAAUUUAUCUGAGAGGAAAUUUCUGGGGCUUGGGGAAUAUUCGACUGUGGAAUUCUGUUUCUGAGUUUCUCCGUGAACGCAGGAACAUCUUCAUUGUUUUUUAGUGUAUGCUUUAUGCUUUCAAGUUUGGGGAAUGUCCACGUCUUGGAUUUCAGCACAUAGUCACUUGUCAGUUGCCCACUUUGGUGAGAAGAUGAGUAGCAAUGAAUCAUCUCCUUCUUCUUUUUGGUGGAUAGCUGUAUAAUUUCUCCUGAAUUGGGCCUAUUGCUGAAAAGUCAGCUCACGUCCGUAUAUCAUCUCUCCUGUUUGGAAGCUGGACCAGAGAAGACAAUGGUUUCCCCUGUGCCAUCCAACUUCCCCACUCACCAUCUUGUUUCGGGGACCAUCCUGUGAAGGCACAGCAUAAACCUCGAAGAGGGAUGUUUCAAGCAUUAGUCAGGGAGCAAGGAUGACUCUGUGGCCCUUCAAGGUGUCUGUGAAACCAAGGCAAUGAGAAAGUAUGUGCGGGAGACAUCUGCAUGGGCACACCCCAAUAACCUGGAAAUAAGGGAAAUAUGAUUGCCUUCUGGCACUUAUACUGUGAAGUCAACACAAAAUGGGUCAUAGCAGAGUCCUGCAGAGCCGCCUUAAGGAAGUGAAAUGCCUUCCAGGUUUUGUCUGGGUGGCCAAAGGAACCAAGAGGAUUAUCUGUACUCUGAAGUCACACUUUUCCCAAAUAUCCCAUGGUAAGGACUUAUUCUGCAGUUACCUCCACUGUCUGCCGGCUUGCCUGUAAAAAGGAGGAGAAAUUGCAGAAAAGCAUGAACAGGCUGGAGGCAGCAGAGAGGAGUAGAAAUAACAGGGGCCUGAACAACGGAAGUUUUGGGUUCUCAGUCUGAUGAUAUGCUCACUGUCACCCCAAACUACCACAUCUUCGAGUCGUUGCUCCAUGUAGAGUGCUCCUCUCCCUGAAAGCGUAGACGAGAGACAUGGAGUAAAGUGUGGGCUCUGGAGCCACUGCCAGGACUGGAAGCCUCGUUCUACCCCUUUCUAGCUGUGUGAUCAUGGGAACAUUAGAAAACCGCUCCUUGCUCCUAUUCCCUAACCUGUAAAAGAUAACCAUAAUUAAACAUACCUUCCUGGUACGUUGUGAGGACUUAAUGCACAAAUUCAUAUAAAGUUCUUUGAAGAGUACCUGCAUUAUGACAAUGCUCAAAAAUGUUAGCAUUUAUUAUAAUUAGACCCCUCCUCCAUUCCAAAAUGCCCCUCAUUGCACGCUUAGCGAGCUCCUACUAAUCCUUCAAGUUUCUGCUUAAAUGUUUCCUCCUCUAAGAAGCCUUCCACAGCCAUCCCUUCCUCUCCCUAAACAGGGUUGAUACUUCCCCUUCUCUGAGGCUGUGCUAGGCACUGUUAAUACAGAGUUGCCUAAGAGUUAGCCACUGUCCCCACAUUGCACACAGUCUAGGAAGACAUGACAAGCUCUGUAAUAAGGUAGCACUCAGCACCAAGGAGGUUUCCUGCUCAGAGGUCGGUCAUUUCUCAAACUGUAUAAAACCCAAGGGCAACCUCUGAGACUGUAUUAGCUGUGUCUAGUUUUUCCUCUCUUUUCUUUUUCUCCACUUUGGUUCAUUCCCCAAACUUUCAUUUUACUUUCCAGUCUCCCUUCCUUUUUUCUCUUACCCUUCUUUCCUGUCUCUUGGGUUUUAUUCUCUCCUUUUCUCUCACUGGAUCUGCACUGCUUGUGGAAGAAGGAGAGCGCCUGGGGCAGUCUUCCUAGAAGAGAUAGUACACAAACUGAUCCUCAAGGCAGAGGGAGAUUUAGAUAAGGAACCGAGGAGUAAGGGGCACAGAUGGAGCAGGAAGGAACAGGCAGAAGGAACAUCAAAUGUGAGGUGUCUGAGAAGAAGGCAUGAAGGAAAGCACGUGCAACGAUGGUAUUUACUGAAAAAUGCAUGAAUUUCAGGCAACUCUGGGAUGUCCCAAGGUGAAGUGGGAUUGAUGAGAGAGGGGGUAAUUCGGGCAUUCCACAAUACGAUUGGAUUGUAUUCUCUAUGGGAUGGGUUCUAAAUUGAGAUUCUAAGGAAGAAGUUGACAUGAUUCUCUUUUCACGUUAGAAAGAUCACUGUGUGUAGGAUGGAUUGAAGGAGACUAGCUUGAUUCAGGCCAUGAAGUUAUGCUACUGAAACCAUCUGAGCAAGAGGUGCUGAUACGUCGAGGAUGUUGGCAAGAUGGUGCAGUGGUUAAGCAUGUAAGCUCUGCUUGUUCCCUGGGUUCUGCCAUUCAUAGAUGCCAAGCAAAGAGGUGACUGUCAAUGUCUCACACUCCCCACCAAACUUCUUAACACUUGAAAAAUGGGCUUUUGUUUCAGGUGGUCAACUCCUUACCAUAAAGAAACAAAGAAUCAGAGAUCUGCACAAUAGUUUACCAUCUGAGUUCAUAGAUACUCACCCCAGGGAAGAGUUAGUUGAAAAUGUCCUUGCUCCCCAGGCAUUUGCUAGGGAAAGAGGUGGGGGAGCAUUCGACAGCUGAGUGUUCGGCUAUAACUCAGAGACUGUCUGCGUGAAACGUGGAUUGGUUACCUUGAGACUGGACCAGUCUCUAAACAGAAUUUCACUACAUUAAAAGAGCAAUGCAUUUGCCUGUGAAAGUCUAGACUAGAAAAUGACUCUCUGUGGCCAUGGCAUCAAAAAUACUAGAGAAAGAAAGGAAUAAAUGCUUUCUGAUGGAUUCAACACCU
Long non-coding RNA from Equus asinus (donkey), 3013 nucleotides. NCBI's taxonomy places the organism in Eukaryota, Metazoa, Chordata, Mammalia, Perissodactyla, Equidae. The record is from Ensembl.